GUAAAGAACCUAAUUGAGUUCAGCAAGAUGACGACACGAAUGAACUCUUGCUGAAUGAAGUGAAGCUCAUCUGUCACAUUCGAACUCACGUAACUCCUAUGUAAACAAACCACCGAGAAUUGUCAAACGAAGUUCAUCAUUUUGUGGGGUUAUGUCGCGAGAUGCAUUAUAGUAUAGGUGUUCACAUUUACCAUGUUUGAGUGUGUUAGUUCUUCGCUGGCAGAAUUAAGUAUGGCGGCACAGUACCGCGGAAGGCAGCAAUGUCAACAAAAGACAAACAAAACAAGGCUGAAAAUUUUGUUGGUAUUUUAUCAAAUUUAAAAGGUGACCAACAUUAAUGGCGAUUCAACAAUAGAAAAUGGCCUGGUUAACAUAUGGGCUUUUCGAUUGAUGGUGCACCGGUGGAGUGGAGUGCACUGGUUUUCCACUUUCUAGCAGAAGCGCAGAAAACUGGCAAUAGCGAGCCGUAUCAGGAUAGCGAUGAUGUGCAACGUACAGAACAACUUGGAUGAUCAAAUUUUCGUCGUUGGUAGUACACAACAUUAAAGUACGAACGACAGGUAAAAAUCUAGUGAUGGACACUAAAAAGCAAAAAGGAUGUGCAUCUACGGUAAGGCGCGAAUCGCACUGAACAAUAGCAAGUAGGAAUUCAUCGAGGACAGGAAUGCAGACGCAGCCGAAGAUUGUGCUUCUAGCAGGCCCACUUGGGAAUGUGCAUCAAUUUUGAGAUCAUAAACUAUAGAGGACCUAUGUUAUAAUAAUUAUACA
Topomyia yanbarensis is the source of this 768-nucleotide long non-coding RNA. RefSeq lists it as uncharacterized. The record is from RefSeq and is a predicted model, not a curated record. The transcript has 3 exons. NCBI's taxonomy places the organism in Eukaryota, Metazoa, Arthropoda, Insecta, Diptera, Culicidae.